GAUUCUGGCUCAGGAUGAACGCUAGCGGCAGGCUUAACACAUGCAAGUCGAGGGGCAGCGUGGAGUAGCAAUACUCUGACGGCGACCGGCGAAAGGGUGAGUAACGCGUGAGCAACAUGCCCGGUACUGGGGGAUAGUCGAUGGAAACGUCGCGUAAUACCCCGUAACAACAGAGGCCGCAUGACCUUUGUUUAAGAGAUUUAUUGAUACCGGAUUGGCUCGCGUACCAUUAGCUAGUUGGCGGGGUAACGGCCCACCAAGGCGACGAUGGUUAGGGUUCUGAGAGGAAGGUCCCCCACAUUGGAACUGAGACACGGUCCAGACUCCUACGGGAGGCAGCAGUGAGGAAUAUUGGUCAAUGGCCGAGAGGCUGAACCAGCCAUGCCCGCGUGCGGGAUGACGGCCCUAUGGGUUGUAAACCGCUUUUAUAUAGGGAUAAAGUCGGGGACGUGUCCCCGUUUGUAGGUACUAUAUGAAUAAGGACCGGCUAAUUCCGUGCCAGCAGCAGC
RNAcentral lists this ribosomal RNA (509 nucleotides) under uncultured bacterium. RNAcentral's name for it is "bacterial SSU rRNA". It matches the Rfam family "Bacterial small subunit ribosomal RNA", at positions 15 to 518 of the family's 1533-position model. The record is from RNAcentral.